This 502-nucleotide ribosomal RNA is filed under the name uncultured bacterium. RNAcentral describes it as "partial 16S ribosomal RNA". It matches the Rfam family "Bacterial small subunit ribosomal RNA", at positions 29 to 523 of the family's 1533-position model. The record is from RNAcentral.
AUUGAACGCUGGCGGAAUGCUUUACACAUGCAAGUCGAACGGCAGCACGGGUGCUUGCACCUGGUGGCGAGUGGCGAACGGGUGAGUAAUACAUCGGAACGUACCCAGUCGUGGGGGAUAACGUAGCGAAAGUUACGCUAAUACCGCAUACGUCCUGAGGGAGAAAGCGGGGGACCGUAAGGCCUCGGCCGAUUGGAGCGGCCGAUGGCGGAUUAGCUAGUUGGUGGGGUAAAGGCCUACCAAGGCGACGAUCCGUAGCGGGUCUGAGAGGACGGCCCGCCACACUGGAACUGAGACACGGUCCAGACUCCUACGGGAGGCAGCAGCGGGGAAUUUUGGACAAUGGGCGAAAGCCUGAUCCAGCCAUUCCGCGUGAGUGAAGAAGGCCUUCGGGUUGUAAAGCUCUUUCGGCAGGGAAGAAACGGCUUGGGAUAAUACCCCGGGCUAAUGACAGUACCUGAAGAAGAAGCACCGGCUAACUACGUGCCAGCCGCCGCCGUAA